UGAGUAAUGUCUGGGAAACUGCCCGAUGGAGGGGGAUAACUACUGGAAACGGUAGCUAAUACCGCAUAACGUCUUCGGACCAAAGUGGGGGACCUUCGGGCCUCACACCAUCGGAUGUGCCCAGAUGGGAUUAGCUAGUAGGUGGGGUAAUGGCUCACCUAGGCGACGAUCCCUAGCUGGUCUGAGAGGAUGACCAGCCACACUGGAACUGAGACACGGUCCAGACUCCUACGGGAGGCAGCAGUGGGGAAUAUUGCACAAUGGGCGCAAGCCUGAUGCAGCCAUGCCGCGUGUAUGAAGAAGGCCUUCGGGUUGUAAAGUACUUUCAGUGGGGAGGAAGGCGUUAAGGUUAAUAGCCUUGGCGAUUGACGUUACCCGCAGAAGAAGCACCGGCUAACUCCGUGCCAGCAGCCGCGGUAAUACGGAGGGUGCAAGCGUUAAUCGGAAUUACUGGGCGUAAAGCGCACGCAGGCGGUCUGUCAAGUCGGAUGUGAUAUCCCCGGG
This 504-nucleotide ribosomal RNA is filed under the name uncultured bacterium. RNAcentral describes it as "bacterial SSU rRNA". It matches the Rfam family "Bacterial small subunit ribosomal RNA", at positions 107 to 607 of the family's 1533-position model. The record is from RNAcentral.